GCCACAUCGCUUUAUGUCAAAUCAGUUUUUAACCUAAAAAUGGAUUUAGUCUCAACAAUCUUAAUAAUAAUCCUAAUUAAAUCGAUAAAAAGCGAAGAUUGGGAUAUUUAUUGGCGUGAUUAUAAAGGAGAAAUCCCAAAAGAUGCUGACCCCGCCGAAGCGAACUCCGUUUACAUUGGACAAGUUAUUUAAGAAGGAUUUUUAUUCGCCGGAUUAAUUUACGCAAAAACAGAUUCAUUUCGAUAAUCUUCUUGAAAACCUCGUAAAUACAACCAUCGAAGGAAACGAUUUUAAUUGGUAUAUUGGAAAAACGUUCCAUGAGAAUCAAUGGGGGGUUAAUUUUUGAGUCGAAUUCGAAAUAAAAUUGAGUGAAUAUAAUUAAAGGUUAACAAGUUUAUUGAAACGAUUUGAAAUAACCUUGAUAUCCUUGGGUGAAUAAUUUAAUCUAUUUAAUUUGUUAUGAAAAGGCGUCUAUGGAAGAGAUUUUAAUGGAAAUUAAUCUAAAGAUACCAUGGAUGCUGAAAAAUCAAUUGAAACGUUAGUUUUAAAGUUUGUUGAGAUUUUUUUUAACUUGGAUAAUAUAAGAAAAAUAAAAAAAUACAAGGAUUUAUCAAGUUGCAUAGAAAAGGCGUUUGUUGAAGAGAUUUUGAUGAAAAUUAACCUAAGGAUACCAUGGAUGAUGGAAAAUCAAUUAGAACCAAGGUUCCUCAAGAUUUUAUUUAACUCCGAUAACCAUUAAUCGGGAAAAAAAAGGAUUUUUUUCGGAAUAAUAAGGAAAAUAAGAAAUGAAAGGAUUUAUCAAGAAAGAACACUUGUUGAAGAGAUUUUAAUGGAAAUUCACCUAUAGAAUAUCAGGAAUGCUGGAAAAUCUAUUAAAACUGAGGUUCGUCAAGAUUUUUGUUAACUCCUGUAUCUAUUAAUCGGAAGGAAAGGAUUUUUGUUUCAAAAUAACACGAAAAAUGAGAAAUAAAAGGACUUAUGAAGAAAAGGCGUGUAUUAAAGAGAUUUGAAUGGAAAUUAACCUGAUAAUUCGGUGGAUGAUGAAAAAUCAAUUAAAACCAAUGUUUGUUAAGAUUUUUUUUUAACUCUGAUAACCAUUAAUCAGAAUUAAAGCACUAAAGCAACUAAAUAAAAGGAUUUAUCAAGAAAAGGCGCUUAUUGAUGAGAUUUGAAUGGGAAUUAACCUAAGGAUGGAUUAACCAUGGAUGCUGAAAAGUCAAUAACACUUAAUCAGAAGAAAAUGGUUUUUGUUUAUAUCUAAUUAGGAAUAAAAGGAUAUAUCAAGGAUUGGAAAUUAAAAUAUGUAUUUUAAAGAAAUUCUUUACAUACAUUAUUUCUUGAGCUUGGCUUGUUUCUGCUAACCACUUUAUGAUACUACCUUUGACAUGGUAGUAAUUAGGAGCUCAUAUUUAAGGACAAUAAAUUUUAUUUGAAAUAUA
Molecule: unclassified non-coding RNA, 1439 nt
Filed under: Onthophagus taurus
Lineage: Eukaryota; Metazoa; Arthropoda; Insecta; Coleoptera; Scarabaeidae
Description: acyl-CoA Delta(11) desaturase-like, transcript variant X2
Source: RNAcentral